Molecule: long non-coding RNA, 589 nt
Filed under: Homo sapiens (human)
Lineage: Eukaryota; Metazoa; Chordata; Mammalia; Primates; Hominidae
Description: long intergenic non-protein coding RNA 2454
Source: RNAcentral
GAUUUCAAUUUGGAAAAUGGCAUGGAAAUAAUCCAGCUUGAACAUCGUCCUCCUCACCUCCUGGACUAGGGCGAGGGCCCCUUAUAUUUCUUCAUGGCAAUUGUGUCACAGUUCAAACGCUCGUACCCUGACUCCAUCUGGGAUUUGGAAUGCACUCAGGGAAGUGGCUGUGCAUGGAGACUAGAAAUGGAAGAGGCUUCCAAGGUCAUGCCUUUCAGGCUCCCUUCAAAUUCUACAGCUACUGUGAAGAGAGUUGCAUUCCCACAGAGAACAUGUCAGACUGGAGGAAAAUUGUGACAAAAGGUCUCCCCAAAGGUCUCUGAAACUUCGAUCUUAUCUCAUUCCACAAGGCAAAGGCCAGUUUCCUAAAUCAAAGAAUGAAACAAAGUACAUCUUUUUCAAGCAUUGUUUUGACAUCACUCCCUUUUAUACAACUGGACAGGCACUCCCAUUCUCUUUAAAUAAUUUUUAAACACUCCUGAACUUUGGCUUGGAGAUCCUCAUUUGAAAUGAUUUUAUCACUCUAGACAUACUAGCUCAUAUUUUUUAACUUCAACCUGGCAAAAGUUAAUAUCCCUCAUAAAACUCU